RNAcentral lists this ribosomal RNA (426 nucleotides) under uncultured cyanobacterium. RNAcentral's name for it is "bacterial SSU rRNA". It matches the Rfam family "Bacterial small subunit ribosomal RNA", at positions 356 to 796 of the family's 1533-position model. The record is from RNAcentral. Lineage: Bacteria; Bacillati; Cyanobacteriota.
UGGGGAAUUUCCGCAAUGGGUGAAAGCCUGACGGAGCAAUACCGCGUGAGGGAUGAAGGAUUUUUGGUCUGUAAACCUCUUUUCUCAAGAAGGAAGUUCUGACGGUACUUGAGGAAUAAGCAUCGGCUAACUCCGUGCCAGCAGCCGCGGUAAUACGGGGGAUGCAAGCGUUAUCCGGAAUCAUUGGGCGUAAAGCGCCUGUAGGUUGUUUAAUAGGUCUGUUGUUAAAGACUGGGGCUUAACCCCAGGAAAGCAAUGGAAACUACUAGACUAGAGUAUGGUAGGGGUAAAGGGAAUUUCUAGUGUAGCGGUGAAAUGCGUAGAUAUUAGAAAGAACACCGGUGGCGAAAGCGCUUUACUGGACCAUUACUGACACUCAGAGGCGAAAGCUAGGGUAGCCAAAGGGAUUAGAUACCCCUGUAGUCA